AGAUCAAAACUGGGAACAUAAUCCCCAAAAAGGGAGAAAAACAGGGACAUUUCCAGUUUGACUAUCAUUCUGAUUGAAACACCUAAUGUGUAAAUAGUGGCAGUAAAGUCAUACACACACGGGUCCCAGUACUCUGUCUAAAAUAGCAGGAUGAAAUGAAAAGUGACAGUUUUUUUUUUAAACUGCACAUUUACUUUUAAGACAAAGUGGGUGAAGAAGAUCUGAGAAGAUGUGUGGUUUCCACCAUGAGAUGUGAUAGUAUGAGGGUGCUUUGUUAGUUUAGAUUAGAUUAAACUUUAUUUUCACAAUCAACCAGCAUGGCUAGCACAGCAUUUUACACCAAUAUGCCACCCCAUCUGGUUUGAACUUAGUGGGAUUAUCAUUUGUUUUUCAACAGGACAAUGACACAAAACACACCUUUAGGCUGUGCAAGAGCAAUUUGACUAAGGGGUGUGAUGGUACUGCAUCAGAUGACCAGGUCAACACAAUCACCCAAAGUGCUGAUGGAUCGAUAAUAAAAUGUUCCUAGCUUUAUAUAAAUGCAGAAUUCUUAAACACAUAGACUGGGCAAUAUCUGCCCAUUCAUCCUUGCUGAAUUGUUCAAGCUCAGUCAAAUUGCAUGAUUUAAGGACUACACUAAACAAGUCUUUCCUCAGAUUUGUGAUGGGAUUUAGGUACGGGCUCUUACUAGGCCACUCAAGGACAUUCACCUUCUUGUCUUUCAGCCUCUGUACUGUAGCUUUGGCUGUGUGCUUUGGGUUUUUUCAAGAUGAAAUGUGAACUAUCUUCGCAGUUUUAACUUCCUGGCAUAUGGCUGCAGGUUCUCCUCCAGAAUCUGUGGAUAUUUUGUACUGUCCAUUUACCCUUCCAUCCUGACAAGUGCUCCAGUCCCUGCUGAAGAGAAACACCCCCACAACAGAAAGCUGCCGUGCUUCAGUGUAGUGUGGGGGGCACCAGCUCCAGACUUCACCCCAGCUGAGGAAAUGGCCCUUGAUUUAUACCAAGGAAGGCCUGUGAUAGAAGGGAUUCAGGGUGGGACAGCUACAGGCUCUGUUCCACCUGCAGAAACUGCCCUCUUCAUACAAGUGUCCGGUGACACAGUUACUCUCCUGCCACCAGACGAUGAUCCAGUGAGUAUUAUUUAUUAAAAGAAUAUGGCUUGGCACAUCCUGUCAAUACAAAUUCUAUUUAAUAUGGCAGGGGGAAGGGGCUUCUGCAGCAUGGGAAGGGGCUGCUGCAGCUGAUGAUGAGGAGACUGGACUCCAGAAGGCCUGAGGUAUCAUGUGAAUCUUAUGGAAAUGCCUAUUUGGCCCAUAAUGGUUGACAAGUCAGUGAUGAAGCACUCAGAAAUGUAUGUAACAGGAUCCAGACGCAGUACAGUCUGACAGCCAGCCUGGCAACAUAGUAAGUAUGUAAGUAAUGGAAAUCUGAAUUGUGCACAAUUCCUGCUGUGCUAAUCAAUGGGUGGUUUACAGAAUGCACAAACUGUAAGACGUUUGUAUACAUGACAUCUGAACAAGCAAAUAGAGCUGGCAGAUGCACAGAUUGCUGUAAGCAAAAGGACUCCCCAGGAUCUGGAUCUUGGUAUAGAAAUCUAGAAGAAAACACUGAGGGAACUGGAUCUGGAGAUACAGAAACUAGAAAAAGAAGUUAGUGACCACACUGUCAGCACAUCUGUAAAACUAUGUAUUAAUCAUGUUUUUCUUUUUCUCUCCCAAGCUCCAAACUGACAAGUGACAGCACUAAAAUAAAAAGCUUAAGAAGCAUUGUGGUGUUCCCUGUGUUAUGAAUGUAUUCUAUACUAUGCAAAGUUAUUGGUUCAGUGAGGUGAGAUGAAAAUUGAGGUUAUGAAACCAAAGUAAGCUACUAUAAUAUCGAAUUAAAACAUUAGACCUAAUUAAGGAGUAACACAAACUAUCCUUUAUUAGAGAAGGACAAGACAA
Molecule: long non-coding RNA, 1943 nt
Organism: Esox lucius (northern pike)
Lineage: Eukaryota; Metazoa; Chordata; Actinopteri; Esociformes; Esocidae
Exons: 3
Source: RefSeq, a predicted model, not a curated record